RNAcentral lists this long non-coding RNA (5208 nucleotides) under Fragaria vesca (wild strawberry). RNAcentral's name for it is "long non-coding RNA (FVES_LNC002016)". The record is from RNAcentral. Lineage: Eukaryota; Viridiplantae; Streptophyta; Magnoliopsida; Rosales; Rosaceae.
CCGAGUCUCUGAAAACAUUCAUAGACAUAGCAAGGCAAUGUUUGACAGAGGAAGUAAUAGGGAUCGGGACCCUUGAAUUAACAACUAAGGUCUAAACUAGAAAAGGAUAGCAAAAACGGCAAAAGGAAAAUAAGUUUUCAUUCAUGCUGCCCGAAGUAGGGUUACAGUGUUUGCAUUUAUAUCCCAUGUUGACGUAUGUGAUCUAACCACGUGUCAAACAUCCAAGACUAGAACUAAAUGCUAAACAGCUCUCCUAGCUCGUGCAAUGCACCCGCGCGCCACACAUGACCAAAACGACGCGUUUAACUACAAGACUAAAAUAUAACUGGGAAGGUUCAUAACAUCACUGCCUGCCUCAAAUCAAACUUGUCCUCAAGUUUGUAGCUGGACUGCUCACUUAGUGCUCAAACUCUGGAAACCUCCUGGUAAUGUUUUCUGCCAGCUCCCAAGUUGCUUCCUCAGGUGUGUGGUGUUGCCAUUGGAUCAACCACUGUGUUGCUGCUGCCCCAUGCUUCUUGAUCAUUCUGGUACCUAACACAGCAUAUGGAGUCCAUUUCUUCUUGUCAGCAUCAGUGAUAGGAGGUAGUUGAGCCUCUGCAGUCACUGUGUCUCCCAACUUCUUCUUUAAGAGUGAUACAUGAAAGACAUUGUGUAUUUUUGCUUCUGCUGGUAGCUUCAGUCUAUAGGCCACUUCCCCAAUCUUCUCAGUUACUUCAAAUGGUCCAUAAUACUUGGCUGCCAACUUGUGAAACACCCUUCUCUGCACCGAGUGUUGCUUGUAGGGUUGCAACUUCAAGUACACAAAAUCUCCCACCACAAAUGAUCUCUCAGUGUGCCUUCUAUCAUGAAACCUCUUCAUUCUCUCUUGUGCUCUCUUCAAGUUCUCUUUUAGAAUUUUCAGCAAUUCAUCUCUAUCUUGCAGUUGCUCAUCCACACGUGCUACAGCAGUAGAUCCAGGUAGGUAAGGGUUGACAAGAAGAGGAUUGUAACCAUAAAGGGCUCUAAAAGGGGUCAUAUUGAUUGCUGAAUGGUGUGAGGUAUUAUACCACCACUCUGCCCAUGGCAGUGCCUGCACCCACGAGUGAGGCUUCUCUCCCACUGUACACCUCAGAUAUUGCUCCAAAGUUCUGUUGAGAUUUUCAGUUUGACCAUCACUUUGAGGGUGGUAAGCUGAAGACCUGCUUAACUGUGUUCCCUGCAGUGCAAAAUAGGAUUCCCAGAAAAGGCUCAUAAACGUUGGAUCCCUAUCUGAUAUUAUGUUAUCUGGCAUGCCAUGUAGCCUUGAAACCUCCUGCACAAAUAGUUUUGCUAGAGACGCUGCAGAAUAUGGAUGAGACAGUGGAAUGAAGUGAUCACCCAAAUAGAUGUCUUGCCUUCUGAUUUUGGUAAUCCAUCUAUGAAAUCCAUGGAAAUGGUGCUCCAAGCUUUUUCUGGUAUAGCUAAGGGUUGUAACAACCCUGGUGGCAACACAGUCUCAUAAUGAUGCCUUUGACAGGUGUCACAGUGAGCUAUAUAGUCUUUCACCUCCUUCUGCAGUCCAGGCCAAGAGAAACUCCUUCCAACCCUUUUAUAAGUUCUAGCCCUUCCAGCGUGGCCCCCAACUAGUCCUCCAUGAAGCUCAGCCAAAAUGGUCUUUCUCCAAUUAUCUGAUUUUGGUACAAAAAUUUUGUUUCUGUAGAAGAGUUGGUCAUUUUCCCACUUGAAAUGCAUCUUCUCACCUCCCUGUUGCAGUAACUUAAUUAUGGUUGUUGCUUCUGGGUCUUUGGCACAAGCCUCUUUCAUCCUUGUAAUGUAAUCAUGUACUGCAGUAGAAAUUCCCAUAAUUGCUGCUGAAGCUGGUACUCUAGAGAGAGCAUCAGGGGCUGCAUUGUUCCGUCCAGCCCUAUACUGGAUUGAAUAAUCAUACCCCAACAAUUUUACCAACCAUUUUUGUUGAGUUGGAGUGGUUACCCUCUGCUUAAGAAAGUACUCAAUAGUUCUGUGGUCUGUUAGGAUUUUAAAAUGAUGCCCUAACAGGUAUGGCCUCCAAUGCUCCACAGCUGCCACCACAGCAAGCAGAUAUGGGAAGCACAAAGAAAUUUUCACUUAGGGUGUAGCCCUGUAGUGUCAAAUCUAUUGUUGCUUCUGAAUUGGUUACCAUCACAUCACCACUAGCAACUCUUACUCUCACUGGCUUGAUAUCUUGUGCCUGGACCUUGGUGUAUUUUAGGACAGAAGGAUGGAUGAAAUUGUGGCUAGCUCCUGAAUCUAUAAGAACAUGUACCUUUUUCCUACCUAAGAUGCCUUUCAGCUGCAUAGUAUGAUUAUUAGGCCCUUCUCCCAAAGAGUGUAGCUGCAUUUCUGGUUCUUGAGCUUCUUCCACUACCCCUUGUACCUCCUCCUGUAUUAUAUUUACCUCUUCUGGUUCUUGUACCACCUCGAUAACCAUAAUAGCUUGCCCUCUCCUGCAAUUGUGUCCCGGCCUGAAUAUCUCAUCACAAAAAAAACACUGGUUUCUUGCUCUUCUUUCUUGGUAUUCUGCUUGUGACAACCUUCUGUUGUUGGUAUUCCCCACAUUUACUCCUUGUGGCACUGGUGCUCUAACUGGUUGAGGAGCUCUUGGCUGGUUUCCAUAAUUGUUGUAUGUUGGUCUGGGCUGCUGCAAUAAUGGUCUUGGCUCCUGCUGAGUGCGAACUACUCUGGUAACUUUCUCUUUUUCCUCAUAAACCUUUGCCAAUUCACAAGCCUCAUAUAAAGUUCGCGGUUUCAUUGCUCUCACAUCCGACCUCAAUGUCUCCUUCAAACCUUCAAUAAAGAAAGCUAACAAAUUUUGUGCAGUAUAGCCCGGUGUUCUUCUAGAAAGUUUGGUAAACUCUUCCAUGUACUGAUCAACAGACCCCGAUUGAUUCAUCCGAGCUAUUGCAGCCUGGUAAUCACCCUUGUUCUGUCCUCCAAACUCCCUCAUAAGCAAUUCACACAAACCAGCCCAAGAGUUGGAAAAUUCAUGUUUAAACAUGAACCACCUAUCUGCAGCUUUCUCUGUUAGGUGCAUAGUUGCCAAAGCUAACUUUCUAUCUUCUGGGAUCUGAUAGAAGUCAAAAAUCUGCUCUACCUUGGUUAACCACUCCACUGGAUCUCCUCCCCCAAAGGUACUAAACUCCAACUUCAUCUGCCUAAUGGUUGGCAUAUUGGGGUCAAACACACUAGAAUGAGUGAACUGAGGUGUCAUGUGGGGUUGUAAACCAUAAUUGCUAGCUACCCCCAACUGAUUUGGAUAAUUAGGCAUUGAAUUUACGGUAGAGGCUUGUGUGUAUAUGGGUUGCUGAGAAAAUAGGUUAGGUGUGUAACACUGAUUAAAACGCUGCUGAGCAAAAUUGGGAACAAAAUUGGUUUGUGCAAAAUUGGUUGGAGCAAAAUUGCUUGGGACAAAAUUUGGGGUAAAAUAGGUUUGAGUAAAAUUUGGAGUGAAUUGGCUUGGUGUGGAACUGAACAUGGCAUUGUUAAAGGGUAUAAACUCUUGUUGAGUGUGGUAUGGAUAGGCAAAAUUAGGUCUGAACUGAGCUUGAGAAACAGGGUUAACUCCAGAAUGAGUAUACUGUGAGGACUGAUUUGUAUGAGCUCUAUGAGUUCCAGCUUCAUAUGACUUACUUCCACUGGACUGCCCCUUUUCAAAACUAAUCUUCUUUCCCUUAUCUAGCACUAGUUUCGGAUCUGAGACCUUAGUUACCACAAGAGUAUUCAUAACCACUCCAGACGCAUCAGGCACAAUAGGUUGGCUAGUAUUAAACUGCAGCAGUUGCUCACCCUCGGCAGAACUAACACUAUUUAGAGCUAAAUUUGCAGACCCUUUACUGUCUGAUGCACUCAAAACUGAGCUCACCAUAGCUUGCGUGGAUCUUGCAGAAUCCUGCGAACCAUUUACAGCUGUAGAUCCACUCGCUGGGGGCAAGGACCCAAACUUAAGAGGAGUGGAGCACACCGGAACCACUUGAACAACAGAUGACUCCCUCAUGGCCCGCAACUCUGCCAUAAUCUCAGUAUGGAAGGUGUUCAUCCUCUCCUGAUACAUAUUGAGUGAGUUUUGCAUCUCUCCAAUUUGGGUUUCGGUGUGUUCUUUGUGUUGGUGGAACUCAGCUUCAAAUGAAGACGAAUUCUCUCCUUGUGAACCCGAAGCUGGGUGACCAGCACCUUGAGCUCCUUUGUUCUUAACCAUGGCCUCAAGAGCGCAAGGCUCUGAUACCAGAUAAUAGGGAUCGGGACCCUUGAAUUAACAACUAAGGUCUAAACUAGAAAAGGAUAGCAAAAACGGCAAAAGGAAAAUAAGUUUUCAUUCAUGCUGCCCGAAGUAGGGUUACAGUGUUUGCAUUUAUAUCCCAUGUUGACGUAUGUGAUCUAACCACGUGUCAAACAUCCAAGACUAGAACUAAAUGCUAAACAGCUCUCCUAGCUCGUGCAAUGCACCCGCGCGCCACACAUGACCAAAACGACGCGUUUAACUACAAGACUAAAAUAUAACUGGGAAGGUUCAUAACAGGAAGUGAGCGGCCAACGAUGGGGGAUGUGUUAUGGAAGUUGGAGCUGGCAUUGCAGCAGCAACAAAAAGAGCUGAUCAAGUAGAAAACACUCGAAUCAGCAUAAUUUUUCCAAUUUGGAUCGAUGUUCAUAAACAUCAGGGCAUUAUUCAAGUUGGCAUUUCAGAUCCAACCCCAGGGAUUGGGUUUCCUGAGAUAAUGCUACCUGCCAGACGUUGACUACUAGGCUCUAGCUGUCAGUGUGUAUUGUGUUUUGUUUAGACUACCGGAAAUCCAUUUAUAGAACUAUUGGUUUAGUUCUCCUAUGAAUUUAUUUUGUUAUCGAAAUCACAUUAUUUAAAGGAUUUCUAGGCUCAAAGUUUAAUCGUGCCGGGAGAUCAUGUCAGAACACUUUCUUCCCAUAAGCACCAAGAAUAGAUUGAGAUUUAACUUCAAUCGUCGGCGGAUUCUAACUUGGGUAUGGGGUUCUACAUCAUCUAGGUUUUUAUCAACUCGACCCCUGUGGUGGUUUCUCCUAUGAAUUUCUAAUCAUCUUUGUAAUUGUGCAUAUGUAGAUACAUAGAUUCUGAACCAAAAUACAGAUGAAUUUGUCUUCAACACAUGUGCUUCUGAAAUCUGAACUCUGAACCUAACUAUCUCAAUUAGAUUAUACAUGAAACCAAACAUACAUAAAUGAAUAAAGCUCCAUCAUAUUCUG